UAUUACUUUGUGUCUCUUAGUCAACCUGAUCUGGUCUAUGUUCGUGGGGAGGGCUUCAUGGGCAUGUCCACCCCAUGUCCACUCCCCCCGCACUCGCCCAUGCUGUCGCACAGACCAAAGCAGGCACUCCCGCACCCACUCCCUCAUAUCGAGGGGCACCAUCCAGCACCCCUCCCCCACUAAUGAUCCUUCCGCAGGUUCACCUACGGAAA
RNAcentral lists this unclassified non-coding RNA (212 nucleotides) under uncultured fungus. Its description in RNAcentral is "sequence contains ITS1". The record is from RNAcentral. Lineage: Eukaryota; Fungi.